RNAcentral lists this long non-coding RNA (637 nucleotides) under Homo sapiens (human). RNAcentral describes it as "HSALNT0250705". The record is from RNAcentral. Lineage: Eukaryota; Metazoa; Chordata; Mammalia; Primates; Hominidae.
CAUCAGUCACCCUUGUGAGUGCACUUUAGCCAUAGCAAGAGCAAGAUCAGAGAGAAAUAAGGACUUAUGACCAUUAGACCAGGAGACAGGAAGCGAUGGUUCUGGAAGGGGCUCUGUUACUAACUUUGGAAUUCAACUGUCCAGAUAGAAAGGUGGACAUGGAAAAAUUGGGCUUUGCAAAUGGUCACCCAAUUCUUGCCUUCCUGGUCUCCAGAUCACCCUUCCUAUACCGCCACUCUGGAGAAAGAAGUACAGAACGCUAACAAGGAAAUCCCAUCUUCCCAGAAUUCAGCUAGGAUCCAGAAGUGAUGCUGUUACGUGACGUCUUCAACCUCCCUCCCUCUGCCCAUCUCAGGGACCUCUCCAGAAGCCAGUCCCAAGAGUGGCAUUGGUUAGCAUAUCUCAAAUACAGUGGGAGAAGCCUCUUAGCUCAGCUCCAGUUAUUUCUCUAUUGUAGAAAACCAAGAGAGAGAUGAAUAAGGAAUGAAAACAUACUCCACAUGGACUCAAUAAAUCUUGGGUGAAAUGAUGCUGUCUGACAAGGUAAAUAAAAAAUGCAGCACUCAAGCACCAGCACUGGGGAUGAGAUGAGGACACACCAAUUACCAGCACUUCUGCCUGCUUUGCUUUGUUGACA